Molecule: ribosomal RNA, 274 nt
Filed under: uncultured bacterium
Lineage: Bacteria
Description: partial 16S ribosomal RNA
Rfam family: Bacterial small subunit ribosomal RNA
Source: RNAcentral
AUACGGAGGGUGCAAGUGUUAAUCGGAAUUACUGGGCGUAAAGGGCGCGUAGGCGGUCUAUCAAGUCAGGUGUGAAAUCCCACGGCUCAACCGUGGAGGUGCAUCUGAAACUGAUAGACUUGAGUAUGGGAGAGGAAAGUGGAAUUCCCGGUGUAGAGGUGAAAUUCGUAGAUAUCGGGAGGAACACCAGUGGCGAAGGCGAAUUUCUGGACGAUACCUGACACUGAGGCACGAAAGCUGGGGGAGCAAACAGGAUUAGAAACCCGAGUAGUCC